UACAUACAAACACCCGCUCAAAAUAGUCGGGUGUCUGCAAGCACUGUAGAAGCGCUGGUCGAUGAAAAGAUACACAAAGAUAAAAAGAUACAAAGAGCGAAAAUAAAUGUAGGCCUAAAAGUAGGCAAUGGUUUUGGAGGAUGUCCCAACUGUAAGCAACGGCAAGCGCAAAGGUAAUCAAGGUCCGUCCACAGAUUUAAAAUAAAAAGUCGCAUAAUAAUGUACAAAUACUUUGCGCGGGUGCGGUCAUAGCUAGGACAUUCCUCUGAAAUGAGCAUAGGGUGUGAAUUGUCAAAGGCAUUCGGGAUGUGGAAAUUUCAAAAAUUUAUUACCGAUUAGCUAGUUUAUAGCUUAAAGUGGGUAGGGCUCCGCCUUCAUCUCAGGGAUGAUAUUCCUUGUUCCAGUGCCACAUUGACACUGGAGACUAAAAUGGCUUUGGAAUUCGGGCCUAUAAAACUGCCCUUAACCCCCAAAUUCGGCCUAUUUGCCGCUUCACCUGCCAACCAGCCACAUCGAGCCACAAGUCUCUUGGAAAAUAUUUCUUUUUCGAUCUUCAGAAUAGUAUGCAUUAACAUAAUAUUAUAAUUAACCUAUACGCGCUGAGAUACGAUUGGAAAAUUCAAGGAAAAGUGAAAAGAAGGCCACAAUUCAACUUAGAUCAUCGCAAAUCUCCCCACCCCGCAGUACCAAAAAGCUUGCGGCUGAGAACAAAAAGAGAGGGAGAGGGGAAGGCAAACCUGGCUCGUCAGCAGGUGCUGAGUAGUUGCCGAAAAUUCGUAUGGAGAGCAUCGCGGCUUGGUCGCGGCAUCGGUAGCUUACGAAAAGAGCUCUCUACGCCGGAAAAUCCAGAGAAAACCCAUAGAGAACGAAGAAUCGGGAAAUGUGGGAAAAUAACUUUUUUUUGUGUGCCAUAUAAAGUGAAAAAAAAACAUAACCCCACACCGUGAACAACCCGCAUGCAGGCGGUUGCAUAACCUAUAUAUAUAUAUAAUAGGCUAGUAGUUAGUUCGGUCCAGUGAUAAAUAUAUAAAAGCGAUGAUGAUUGCGUGCUAACAAAAGAAAACGAAAAAUAAUUAAAAUAAAAAUUUCGAGGAAAAUGAGGGGAAAAUUAUGUCGUUGCCAGGUGAAAUCAAGUGAUCAACAAUAAAGAGAAAAAAAGAAAAAGUGAUCUAAAAGCCCCUUUACCCCUCCCUAUAGAUUCGCCGAAAGCGCUUUCGCCGUCUGGAUAUGGAGAGGUAAGUCUGCACAACAAUUGUUCUAAAAUCCAAAAGCCAAACAAAGAAAAUGUAAAAGCAUGUAGAAAUCGACGCAAAGUCAACUCGAUGUCUCUCAGUAAAGUAAAUAUCAUGUCGAUUCUCAAUCAACUAAUUAUUUUUCAAUGCUUGUAAUUUAACACCGUCUGAGCUGCCAUAUA
This is a long non-coding RNA of Drosophila yakuba, 1414 nucleotides long. RefSeq lists it as uncharacterized. The transcript has 2 exons. NCBI's taxonomy places the organism in Eukaryota, Metazoa, Arthropoda, Insecta, Diptera, Drosophilidae. The record is from RefSeq and is a predicted model, not a curated record.